AGGGGGGGAGCUGCUGCAGACCCAUGUGGUGCUCUGCCUCAUGCCCUCUCAGCCUAACCUCUAAUUUCAGCAGAGAUGGGGUGUGUUUCUGUUCCGUGGUUAAGUCGCUGCAUGCUCACAGAGGCUUACUUCAAGCACGGGCUGCAAGGUUUUACUUUCUUCAUCAGGAUUCCUCUCAUGCCACGAAUGGGGAAAGUUCACAGUUGUUGGAGCUGAUAUUCCUAGAGAAAAAUGCUGGAAGCUACAUAUGGGGCAGUCCUGCUCCUCAGGGCCCACAGAAGCUCAGAUUCCUCCUGUCUACUUGCUCUGCCAAGUGUUGUUUUUGGUGGCUUAACGCCACUUCCACUCUCCAGCCAGUAGAAAGGUGAGAAAAGCGAAAGAGAAGAACAGAAUUCUCUUCACUGCAGGAUCUCCUUACAUCCCACUGAUCAGAAUUUCCACCAUGACCAUGCCUAGAUUCAAGGGGUGAGGUGAGGGGAGGAGCUGGGAAAUGCAGUCUGCAUUCUGUGCCCAGCUAAAAUGUAGGGAUGCGGUUGCCAUAGAAUCGGGGAAAGUGGAUAUGGGGGCAUGGCAGCUGGUGCUCACGGGGCACUCUUUGCCUUUGACAGUGGAUCAGGCAUUAUGCAGAGCACGAAGAGGAGCACAUUGUAGUCUCUGACUUCAGAAGAAGCAGACAGCAAAGGUGGUUUCCUUCCUGGUGGAGAUUGCCGAUUGGACUACAGAAUGGCGAGAAUACUGUGAAAGGAGGAGCAUAGAAAUCCAAGUGUGAUCAGUCAGCAGGUCUUGGCCAGGAGCAUACACAGAAUAAACAAAUAAAUAAGUAAAGAGAGGAAGGGGAAGUAAUGUUAAGACUGUUCAAGACUUGGAAUACAGCUCUCCUAAAAAGCAGUCCUUUGAAGUCUUGGGAUACUACAGAAAGAUCCCAACAACCACUGAGCCUGGUUUCGAUUUUUGGAGGAAACACACCAGGUGAAUAAAGCAGUGUGACGUGAGAGAAAAGAGGGCGGCAAAGGUGAAUGGGAUCCCAGCCUUUCAAGGACUUGGGCAGAGCAACUGGAGGAGGUGUGAGUCCAGCCAACAGUGUGGAUCAGUUUCCUAGGCUGCCAUAACAAAGCACCAUAACCUGGUGGCUUAGAACAAUGGAAAGGCAUUUGCUCACGGUUCCAGAAGCUGUAGGUUAGAAACUAAGUGUGGCAGGGUCAUGGCCCCUCUGAAACCUAGGAGGGAAGGAUGCUUCCCUGCUUCUUCCUGCUUCUGCUAUCCCCUGAUGUUCCUGGGUUAGUGGCAGCAUAAUUCUGGCCUCUGCCUCUGUCUUAACGUGGUGUUUUUUCCUGUGUCUCUUCAUAUUGCCUUUUGUCUCUGUGCCUCUACCUCUGAGUCCAAAUUGCCCCUUUUUAUAAGGACAAUCACAUUGUCCUUAGUCACAUUGGAUUGGAUUAGGGCCCACUAUACAGACCUUGUUUUAACUUGAUUCUUCUAUCAAGACCCUGAGAAUCUCCAAAUAAGGCCACAUUCUGAGGAACUGUGGGUUUGGACUUCAACAUGUCUUUUUUGGGGGCCACAACUCAACCCAUACCAGCUUGCUUGAUGGAUAUUCAUAGCUGAUGUCAAAGUAAAUUUAAUUCUCAUCCUCAGAAGCAAGAAAGAUUCCACGACUAAGGCCAACAAUAACAUCCAGGGAGUUCGUUUCUUGAGCAACGACCAGCUCUUUGCAUAGCACGAAUUGCCAAAAAAGGCCAGCGUAGUCAUUUCUCGGCCAUGCACACCUGUGAUGUGGCAAGCCAUG
Molecule: long non-coding RNA, 1786 nt
Filed under: Homo sapiens (human)
Lineage: Eukaryota; Metazoa; Chordata; Mammalia; Primates; Hominidae
Description: HSALNT0273756
Source: RNAcentral